CCUCAAAUCGGGUGAGACUACCCGCUAUUAC
This 31-nucleotide ribosomal RNA is filed under the name uncultured Russulaceae. RNAcentral's name for it is "partial 28S ribosomal RNA". Lineage: Eukaryota; Fungi; Basidiomycota; Agaricomycetes; Russulales; Russulaceae. The record is from RNAcentral.